RNAcentral lists this ribosomal RNA (1653 nucleotides) under Triticum aestivum (bread wheat). RNAcentral describes it as "partial small subunit ribosomal RNA". The record is from RNAcentral. Lineage: Eukaryota; Viridiplantae; Streptophyta; Magnoliopsida; Poales; Poaceae.
AAAGCUGCAACUACCUUUUUGAACUCCUCGCGAGUCACCCACCGGCCAAUACCGAGACCAACCUGAGAGGGUGAGGGGAGAGGGAGAGAUGAUUGGGGGAGGAGGGGGAGGGGCGCUGCGGCGGGUGGGCAAGUACGAGGUGGGGCGGACCAUCGGGGAGGGGACGUUCGCCAAGGUCAAGUUCGCGCAGAACACGGAGACAGGGGAGAGCGUCGCCAUGAAGGUGCUCGAUCGCUCCUCCAUCCUCAAGCACAAGAUGGUGGAUCAGAUCAAGAGAGAGAUAUCCAUAAUGAAGCUUGUGAGGCAUCCCAAUGUGGUCAGAUUACAUGAGGUUUUGGCGAGCCGAAAGAAGAUAUUUAUAAUCUUGGAGUUCAUCACUGGUGGUGAACUAUUUGACAAAAUUAUUCGUCAUGGGAGACUCAGUGAAGCGGAUGCACGUAAAUACUUUCAGCAGCUUAUUGAUGGUGUUGAUUUUUGCCACAGCAAAGGAGUCUACCAUCGAGAUCUAAAGCCUGAAAAUCUUCUCCUUGAUUCCCAAGGAAAUCUUAAAAUUUCAGACUUUGGACUCAGUGCAUGGCCUGCACAGGGAGCUGCCCUUCUACGCACUACCUGUGGAACCCCAAACUAUGUUGCCCCAGAGAUUGAGAGCGCAGAAUAUUCAUUCCCAGCUGUGUUUCCAAGUGGUGCUAAGUCACUGAUACGUAGAAUUCUGGAUCCUAGCCCAGAUACACGAAUCAGGAUAGAAGAGAUCAGAAAGGAUGAAUGGUUUAAGAAAAAUUAUGAACCUGUCAGGGAACUAGAAAAUGAAGAAGUCAAUCUCGAUGAUGUUAAUGCAGCUUUUGAUGAUCCUGAGGAGGACAAUCAACAUACUUUUGACGAUGAAGCAGGCCCUUUGACGCUCAAUGCAUUCGAUCUAAUUAUUCUAUCUCAAGGGUUGAACCUUUCGGCCCUAUUUGAUCGCCGACAGGACUAUGGCAAGCUUCAAAAUAGAUUUUUAUCACGCAAACCAGCAAAUGUUAUAUUGUCAAGUAUGGAGGUUGUUGCUCAAUCCAUGGGGUUUAAGACACAUAUUCGCAAUUAUAAGAUGAGGGUGGAAGGUCCAAAUGCGAACAAGACUAGCCAUCUCACAAUUAUGCUUCAAAUUUUUGAAGUUGCCCCAUCAAUCUUUAUGGUGGAAUUAGAGAGAUCUGCUGGAGAUACUUCAGAGUAUAAUAAGUUCGUAAACAACUACUGCUCCAAAUUAGAUGAUAUCAUCUGGAAAGUUUCUGCUGAGAAGGGAAAAUCUAGGACAUCCCGGCUAUCGAAGCGCUAAUUUAUGCACCUAUUACAAUUUAUCUGUAACCAUGUGGGUUUGCUGCAGGGAGGGGGAGAUUGUGUUUAGUGCCAUGAUUGUAUACUACGACUAGUCGAGUCUGCUUGUACAAAGAGGUCCAUCUAGUAGUUCUGACAUGUCAGUUUUCAUGUACAGAAAUGUGUCAAACAAACUGUACUUCACUUGUCUCCGGGUUUGUUCGGGGAGUUGACAUAAUUGGUGUGACUUGUAUACUGCCAACAUUUGUUGCUUUCGUUCCAUUUCUACUCUUCAAUUUGUUAGCUUGCAUGACUCAUUAUCAACUGAUUAAACAGCAUCACCUCAUUGGUGUUAUCGUGUGC